AAAAAAUCAAAUCUUUAGUUUUCUAUCAUAUUCGUAGAAAUAUGUUUUGAUACCGAUCUUUGUUCUUCCUCUUAUUCAUUAUAUUCACAGAACUUUAUGUCUGUUCAAUAACGCUGAAGCAAACAAGUACAAAUAUGAAGAUAUCCCAAGGGGAUUUGUUUGGUGCAGUCAAGAAAAUCAGUAGCAGCAAAGGUCCCUAAAAAAAAAAGCCAAGAAUUCAAUUUUUUUUAUUAAUCCUUAUAAUUGUAUUUUUGUUAUGAUGCAUCUUCAAUUUCUAGGAAAAAAAUAAUGUUUGGUUGUUUUUAUCAAAAUUUUUUUUACAUAUUAUCGUCUAAAAUUUCAAGUUUAAUAAAAUUUACUUUUUACAUUUUUAA
This 374-nucleotide long non-coding RNA is filed under the name Capsella rubella. RNAcentral's name for it is "long non-coding RNA (CRUB_LNC002117)". Lineage: Eukaryota; Viridiplantae; Streptophyta; Magnoliopsida; Brassicales; Brassicaceae. The record is from RNAcentral.